CCCACCCACCUUAGCGAUACAUCCAAAGUCGAAAGAAUUAACAGUACUGCUAUUCGAUCGACCUUCCCCGAAUUCCAAUCGAAUCGGACAAGCGUAAAACCAAAUCUCUUUCUUUUAGCCUCUCAAAGAUUCAUUCCUCCAGAGUCUUGAUUCAACUCCUUAUAGAUUCAUUUCAAGGCUCUUGCUGACCUUCCCCAAAUUUCAAUCAAAUCGGAGAAGCCGUCAAAAGGAAUUGGAGAUUCAACUCCUUAUAGAUUCAUCCAGUCGAGUUUGAGCCUUCCGUUCCCAGAGCAGAAAGCCAAGUAUUAUAGAGAGCUGGACACUGCUGCUGAUGUUGUCAAGCGAGCUUGUCGUCUAUGAGUUGAUGUUUCUUCAGUAAAGAUUCUGUUUUUCACCUAUCUAGUUACUAAUUUCAAGUAGACACCCUUUUCAGAAGAAAGAAGAAGCAAGAUAUUUGGUGAGGAUAUCUAUGGAUAAUGGUGAUAAAAGUUGGAUGAAUCUCCUGAGAUGGACGGAUGAGUAUAUCCGUGUAGAGAAUGAUUUUCUUGAUAAGGCAUUUGAACGAGCCGCCCAAGGAAAUAAAAUAUUAUGCCCUUGCAAAAAGUGUAUGAAUCGCUAUUGGUAUUAUAGAAAUGUGGUGGAGGAUCAUUUGGUUGUUCAUGGAUUUGUUGAUGGUUAUACCAAAUGGGUUUUCCACGGGGAAGGAUUUUCCUCGAGAAAUACACCUCAUCCAAGCAAUGAUGAUGGAGGUUCUACCAUGCAUGACUAUAUUGAUGGUCUACUGAAUGAUACAUUUAGAAAUAUAGAGGGUCACGUAGGGGAUGAAGAAGGAGUUGGGGAAAGACUAUCUGAAGAUACAAAGAAGUUUUUCAAAUUAUUGGAGGAAGGCAAACAAAGAGUUAUACCCGGGGUGUGAAAAUUUCAGUAAACUGAGUUUCACUAUUCGGUUAUACUUGCUUAAAUCCUUGCAUGAGUUGAGUAAUGUGGCUUUCUCUGAGUUGUUGGAGUUGAUAAAAGAGGCAUUUCCCUUUGCUCAGGUACCAGAAUCUUUCAACAAGGCUAGAAACAUGAUAAAAGAUUUAGGUCUUCAUUAUGAAAAAAUACAUGCAUGCCCUAAUGAUUGCAUGUUAUUUUGGAAAGAAAAUGCGAAUGCCGAUACUUGCUCUAUGUGUGGGUCUUCAAUAUGGAAGAGUGCUGGUCCUUUGACUAAAGCAAGCUCUAAACUCCCUGCAAAGGUUUUAAGGUACUUUCCUUUAAAGCCUAGGCUUCAAAGGAUAUUCAUGUGUCCUGAAACGCUGCUGCAAUGAGAUGGCAUGCUAAUGAACGACCAAAUGAUGUCAAUAUAAGACAUCCUGCUGAUGGGGAAGCUUGGAAGGCUUUUGAUUCUUUGCACCCAGAAUUCUCUAGAGAUCCUCGGAAUGUUAGAUUGGGUCUUUCAAGUGAUGGUUUCAACUCGUUUCGGACCAUGAGCAUUUCUCAUAGCACGUGGCCUGUUAUGUUAAUGAACUAUAAUUUAUCACCGUGGAUUUGCAUGAAGCCAGAGUAUAUAAUGUUGUCUAUGAUCAUUCCUGGUCCAUCAUCUCCUGGAAAUGAUAUAGAUGUGUACCUCCGUCCAUUAAUUGAAGAAUUGAAGGAGCUAUGGGAAACUGGGAUAGACACAAAAUAGUGGAGUGACUUUAUCGGCGACAACAGAUAGUUUUGCUAGUUCUAGGGACCAAAAUCCCAUCGAUGGUGAGGUUAUCUAUUAUGGAGCGAUUCAGGAUAUCAUUGAGAUUGAUUAUUGGGAUUGUUUUAGUGUUGUACUGUUUAGAUGUGAUUGUUUUCGUAAUGAAAUAGAUGAUUAUGGGUUAACUUGGGUGUACUUCAAUAGAUUAUGUUGUAGAGAUGACCCUUUUGUGUUGGCAUCACAAGUUUAUCAAGUUUUUUAUGUGGAGGAUCCAGUUGAGAAAGAUAUUUAUUAUGCGAGGAGCAAAGUACAUGUUGAUUUGUAUGAUCUAGAGGAAGAGAACUGUCCUAAUAUUGGAGACACAUUUUGGAAGGAACCUAAUAAUGACAUUGGUUCCUCAUCUAGAUUACUUGAUGUUGACAUUAGAUGGUCAAGAGAAGAUGUACCCGUUGAUAUCAUUGAUACUCCAUCUAAUGCACAAAAUUCACAUGAUACAACGGUGGAAACAUCGGAAGAGGAGGAUGGGUUUGAUGAUACUGAUUGGGACUGGAUGGAAGCAGAUGAUUAAAUAAGAAAAUUCUGAAAUUCUUUUAAGUAUAUUCUUUUUUGGGAUUGGAGAUCCGGUACCAUUAUUUCCUUUUCUGCUUCAGCUGUCCAAGUCUUCAAGUGUGAAACACAAUUGAAUCUGAAAAAUAUUUGAAUAGACAUGAAUCAAGAAGGGUGCUCAAGCAAAAAUAAGAAAAUAUCCAACUGUAUUCCAGCUGGAUCACUUGCAUCUUUGCGAAACCAAAGGGUUUCGUCGUUGAAAACAAAAAGAACCUUCCAAGAUACAAGGUCAAAUGAAAAUGAAGCACGACAGUCAGAAGGUGGAUUACCUUCAUCUUUGCGAAACCAAAAGGUUUCGUCAUUGACAACAAAACAGUCUUGAAAGCUAUAAGGUCAAGUGCAAAUGAAGAACAUCAAUCCGAAGGUGGAUCUCAAUUGCAAGAACAAGUGCAACAAGUGCCACGGAAUUCCACCUCUUCAGCAGCACAAGGAGUACACGAACAAGUGCAUCAAGCGAAUAUGGAUUCCAUCACUCAUGCAUCACAGGGAGUACAUGAACAAUUUGAUGAUUCGACCAAUCAUGAAGCAGCUGAACAAAUUGAGGAACAAG
Molecule: long non-coding RNA, 2822 nt
Organism: Nicotiana attenuata
Lineage: Eukaryota; Viridiplantae; Streptophyta; Magnoliopsida; Solanales; Solanaceae
Exons: 6
Source: RefSeq, a predicted model, not a curated record